Molecule: long non-coding RNA, 405 nt
Filed under: Mytilus galloprovincialis (Mediterranean mussel)
Lineage: Eukaryota; Metazoa; Mollusca; Bivalvia; Mytilida; Mytilidae
Source: RNAcentral
GGUUGGUGUGGUUUGUCUAUUUACUCGGAGCAGUCAGGUGUUUGUGGUUGGUGUGGUUUGUCUAUUUACUCGAAGUAGUCAGGUGUUUGUGGUUGGUGUGGUUUGUCUAUUUACUCGAAGUAGUCAGGUAUUUGUGGUUGGUGUGGUUUGUCUAUUUACUCGAAGUAGUCAGGUGUUUAUGGUUGGUGUGGUUUGUUUAUUUACCGGAGGAGUAGUAGGUGUUAUGGUUGGUGUGGUUUGUCUAUUUACUCGAAGUAGUCAGGUAUUUGUGGUUGGUGUGGUUUGUCUAUUUACUCAGAGUAGUCAGGUGUUUGUGGUUGGUGUGGUUUGUCUAUUUACUCGAAGUAGUCAGGUAUUUGUGGUUGGUGUGGUUUGUCUAUUUACUCGGAGUAGUCAGUUUUGUGU